This 516-nucleotide long non-coding RNA is filed under the name Anser brachyrhynchus (Pink-footed goose). Its description in RNAcentral is "lncRNA (ENSABRG00000013287.1)". Lineage: Eukaryota; Metazoa; Chordata; Aves; Anseriformes; Anatidae. The record is from RNAcentral.
AUGCAGCACAGCCAGGAGAGCCCCUGGCCCCUGAAUACUACCUUCAGAUGGAGGAGGGAAAAUAACAUCUACAGGCAUGGUAAUGUCUUCACUUUGCUACAAGAUGCAGAUGGAUCACUCUUUGCCAGCUUUCAAGGCAAAUAUUGCUGUAUAGUCCUUGCCCUCAGCAACAUCCUCAGUGUCCUGGUGAUGGGUGCUUUGAAAGGAUCGGGCAGAAGAGACGUCAUGCUGCCUCUGCACAUCAGGCUCUCUGUUCUGGCAGAUUUGGUGUAUCUCCUAUGCAGGCUUGACCAUCCCAAGUCCACUAUACUAGCUGAAAACAGUUUUAGUCAGUGCACUGCAUUUCCAUGCAAUUAUGGUAGUAUGCUUAUUUUCUGUUACCUUUUGAAUGGAUAAUUUAAAAUUGCUCUCUGUAGGGAUGUUCCCUGUGUCUGUCUGCCUAUCAAUCUUUCUAUCUGAAUGCAGAAGUAUUUGAUUAGUGUAUUUAAAGUAAUAAAGAUGUCAACAGUAGUGUCA